This 1444-nucleotide ribosomal RNA is filed under the name metagenome. Its description in RNAcentral is "bacterial SSU rRNA". It matches the Rfam family "Bacterial small subunit ribosomal RNA". The record is from RNAcentral.
AGAGUUUGAUCCUGGCUCAGGAUGAACGCUGGCGGCGUGCUUAACACAUGCAAGUCGAACGAACCUUCGGGUUAGUGGCGGACGGGUGAGAAACGCGUGAGAAUCUGCCCUCAGGAGGGGGAUAACGGCUGGAAACGGCCGCUAAUACCCCAUAUGCCGAGAGGUGAAACGAGUUUUCGCCUGAGGAUGAGCUCGCGUCUGAUUAGCUAGUUGGUGGGGUAAGAGCCUACCAAGGCAUCGAUCAGUAGCUGGUCUGAGAGGAUGAUCAGCCACACUGGGACUGAGACACGGCCCAGACUCCUACGGGAGGCAGCAGUGGGGAAUUUUCCGCAAUGGGCGAAAGCCUGACGGAGCAACGCCGCGUGAGGGAUGAAGGCCUCUGGGCUGUAAACCUCUUUUAUCAAGGAAGAAGAUCUGACGGUACUUGAUGAAUAAGCCACGGCUAAUUCCGUGCCAGCAGCCGCGGUAAUACGGGAGUGGCAAGCGUUAUCCGGAAUUAUUGGGCGUAAAGCGUCCGCAGGCGGCCUGAUAAGUCUGUUGUCAAAGCGUGGAGCUCAACUCCAUUUCGGCAAUGGAAACUGUGAGGCUUGAGUGUGGUAGGGGCAGAGGGAAUUCCCGGUGUAGCGGUGAAAUGCGUAGAUAUCGGGAAGAACACCAGUGGCGAAGGCGCUCUGCUGGGCCAUAACUGACGCUCAUGGACGAAAGCCAGGGGAGCGAAAGGGAUUAGAUACCCCUGUAGUCCUGGCCGUAAACGAUGAACACUAGGUGUCGGGGGAAUCGACCCCCUCGGUGUCGUAGCCAACGCGUUAAGUGUUCCGCCUGGGGAGUACGCACGCAAGUGUGAAACUCAAAGGAAUUGACGGGGGCCCGCACAAGCGGUGGAGUAUGUGGUUUAAUUCGAUGCAACGCGAAGAACCUUACCAGGGUUUGACAUCCUGCGAAUCCCUUGGAAACGAGGGAGUGCCUUCGGGAGCGCAGAGACAGGUGGUGCAUGGCUGUCGUCAGCUCGUGUCGUGAGAUGUUGGGUUAAGUCCCGCAACGAGCGCAACCCACGUCUUUAGUUGCCAGCAUUGAGUUGGGCACUCUAGAGAGACCGCCGGUGAUAAACCGGAGGAAGGUGUGGAUGACGUCAAGUCAUCAUGCCCCUUACAUCCUGGGCUACACACGUACUACAAUGCUACGGACAAAGGGCAGCAAACUCGCGAGAGCUAGCAAAUCCCAUAAACCGUGGCUCAGUUCAGAUCGUAGGCUGCAACUCGCCUACGUGAAGGAGGAAUCGCUAGUAAUCGCAGGGCAGCAUACUGCGGUGAAUACGUUCCCGGGCCUUGUACACACCGCCCGUCACACCAUGGAAGUUGGCCACGCCCGAAGCCGUUACUCCAACCCUUGUGGAGGAGGACGUCGAAGGUGGGGCUGAUGACUGGGGUGAAGUCGUAACAAGGUA